This 1388-nucleotide long non-coding RNA is filed under the name Homo sapiens (human). RNAcentral's name for it is "long non-coding RNA NONHSAT193972.1". The record is from RNAcentral. Lineage: Eukaryota; Metazoa; Chordata; Mammalia; Primates; Hominidae.
GAAAGCGAAAGCUAGCCCGCGCCGCGGACUUUGAGCCCGGGGCGGGGGGUGGCCUUGAGGAGGCGGGCUCGGGGGGCUGGGCGGCCAUGGGGGCGCUGUCAGCGUGCCCCACCCGGUCCGCGGGCCGCGCACGCCGCCGGAACUCCCUGGCGCCUCCUUAAAAAACGGCCCCCGCGCGACUCUUUCCCCCUUUUUUUUGUUACAUUGUAGGAGCGGAAAGAAUGUCGGAGCGGGCCGCGGAUGACGUCAGGGGGGAGCCGCGCCGCGCGGCGGCGGCGGCGGGCGGAGCAGCGGCCGCGGCCGCCCGGCAGCAGCAGCAGCAGCAGCAGCAGCAGCAGCCGCCGCCUCCGCAGCCCCAGCGGCAGCAGCACCCGCCACCGCCGCCACGGCGCACACGGCCGGAGGACGGCGGGCCCGGCGCCGCCUCCACCUCGGCCGCCGCAAUGGCGACGGUCGGGGAGCGCAGGCCUCUGCCCAGUCCUGAAGUGAUGCUGGGACAGUCGUGGAAUCUGUGGGUUGAGGCUUCCAAACUUCCUGGGAAGGACGGGACAGAAUUGGACGAAAGUUUCAAGGAGUUUGGGAAAAACCGCGAAGUCAUGGGGCUCUGUCGGGAAGACAUGCCAAUAUUUGGUUUCUGUCCAGCCCAUGAUGAUUUCUACUUGGUGGUGUGUAACGACUGUAAUCAGGUUGUCAAACCGCAGGCAUUUCAAUCACAUUAUGAAAGAAGACAUAGCUCAUCCAGCAAGCCGCCUUUGGCCGUUCCUCCCACUUCAGUAUUUUCCUUCUUCCCUUCUCUGUCCAAAAGCAAAGGAGGCAGUGCAAGUGGAAGCAACCGUUCUUCCAGUGGAGGUGUUCUUAGCGCAUCCUCAUCAAGUUCCAAGUUGUUGAAAUCACCCAAAGAGAAACUGCAGCUCAGGGGGAACACCAGGCCAAUGCAUCCCAUUCAGCAAAGUAGAGUUCCCCAUGGUAGAAUCAUGACACCCUCUGUGAAAGUGGAAAAGAUUCAUCCGAAAAUGGAUGGCACACUACUGAAAUCUGCGGUGGGGCCAACCUGUCCUGCUACUGUGAGUUCCUUAGUCAAGCCUGGCCUUAACUGCCCCUCAAUACCAAAGCCAACCUUGCCUUCACCUGGACAGAUUCUGAAUGGCAAAGGGCUUCCUGCACCGCCCACUCUGGAAAAGAAACCUGAAGACAAUUCCAAUAAUAGGAAAUUUUUAAAUAAGAGAUUAUCAGAAAGAGAGUUUGAUCCUGACAUCCACUGUGGGGUUAUUGAUCUCGACACCAAGAAGCCCUGCACCCGGUCUUUGACAUGCAAGACACAUUCCUUAACCCAGCGCAGGGCUGUCCAGGGUAGAAGAAAACGAUUUGAUGUGUUAUUAGCCGAGCAC